Molecule: long non-coding RNA, 185 nt
Organism: Notothenia coriiceps (black rockcod)
Lineage: Eukaryota; Metazoa; Chordata; Actinopteri; Perciformes; Nototheniidae
Exons: 3
Source: RefSeq, a predicted model, not a curated record
GAUCCAAACAAACAAGCCAGUACGGCACAAAAGAGGUUGUGAAAAGACGUGCCCCGACUUCGUCUCUACAGCUGAUGUCAGGGCAAAGGGACACAAGAAGGACUCCUCGCCCAACCAGGGCACUGUACCGGAUCAAUGGACAAGACACAGAUUUCUCAACAGGAUUACAAGACAGUUCUCCCUGU